GGUGAAGAACGUAGUGAACUGCGAUAAGUAAUGUGAAUUGCAGAAUUCAGUGAAUCAUCGAGUCUUUGAACGCACAUUGCGCCCCCUGGCAUUCCGGGGGGCAUGCCUGUCCGAGCGUCAUUGCUGCCCUUCAAGCCCGGCUUGUGUGUUGGGUCGUCGUCCCCCCCGGGGGACGGGCCCGAAAGGCAGCGGCGGCACCGCGUCCGGUCCUCGAGCGUAUGGGGCUUUGUCACCCGCUCGAUUAGGGCCGGCCGGGCGCCAGCCGGCGUCUCCAACCUUCUAUUUUACCAGGUUGACCUCGGAUCAGGUAGGGAUACCCGCUGAACUUAAGCAUAUCAAUAAGCGGAGGA
RNAcentral lists this unclassified non-coding RNA (350 nucleotides) under soil metagenome. RNAcentral describes it as "partial contains 5.8S ribosomal RNA, internal transcribed spacer 2, and large subunit ribosomal RNA". The stretch from base 3 to 120 matches the Rfam family "5.8S ribosomal RNA", at positions 37 to 154 of the family's 154-position model. The record is from RNAcentral.